GGUUGUCAUGCCAAUGGCACUGCCCGGUAGCUAAAUGCGGAAGAGAUAAGUGCUGAAAGCAUCUAAGCACGAAACUUGCCCCGAGAUGAGUUCUCCCUGAGACUUAGAGUCUCCUGAAGGAACGUUGAAGACGACGACGUUGAUAGGCCGGGUGUGUAAGCGCAGCGAUGCGUUGAGCUAACCGGUACUAAUGAACCGUGAGGCUUAACCUU
RNAcentral lists this ribosomal RNA (212 nucleotides) under Escherichia coli. RNAcentral describes it as "partial 23S ribosomal RNA". It matches the Rfam family "Bacterial large subunit ribosomal RNA", at positions 2719 to 2925 of the family's 2925-position model. Lineage: Bacteria; Pseudomonadati; Pseudomonadota; Gammaproteobacteria; Enterobacterales; Enterobacteriaceae. The record is from RNAcentral. RNAcentral also lists the same sequence under 2 other names.